This 28-nucleotide non-coding RNA is filed under the name Mus musculus (house mouse). Lineage: Eukaryota; Metazoa; Chordata; Mammalia; Rodentia; Muridae. The record is from RNAcentral.
UCCCAGAGUGUAUGUGAUAUUUAUUGGC